This 253-nucleotide ribosomal RNA is filed under the name uncultured bacterium. RNAcentral's name for it is "partial 16S ribosomal RNA". It matches the Rfam family "Bacterial small subunit ribosomal RNA", at positions 524 to 776 of the family's 1533-position model. The record is from RNAcentral.
UACAGAGACUGCAAGCGUUAUUCGGAUUCACUGGGCGUAAAGGGUGCGCAGGCGGCCAAGUGUGUGAGGCGUGAAAGCCCGGGGCUUAACCCCGGAAUUGCACCUCAAACUACAUGGCUAGAGCAUUGGAGAGGGUAGCAGAAUUCACGGUGUAGCAGUGAAAUGCGUAGAUAUCGUGAGGAAUACCAGAGGCGAAGGCGGCUACCUGGACAAUUGCUGACGCUCAGGCACGAAAGCGUGGGGAGCAAAAGGG